RNAcentral lists this long non-coding RNA (653 nucleotides) under Mus spicilegus (steppe mouse). RNAcentral's name for it is "lncRNA (ENSMSIG00000027169.1)". The record is from RNAcentral. Lineage: Eukaryota; Metazoa; Chordata; Mammalia; Rodentia; Muridae.
GUACAAUUCCUCCCUUAUAUGACUUAGAUCUUUUACCUGCAGUUUCUCAUGAUUUAAGUAGUCUAAUUUCUAUUACAUGUUUCAACAUAUUUGCUUCUUUAUUAUAUUCUCUGGUGAGAUCUGCAUCUAUUAAUUUUUUUUAAAACUAAGAGUCAAAUAUUCUUGCUUCUUUAGGUGUUUCAGUUUGUCACGGUAGAUGUCUAAGACACAGUACAGUCUGGAGAAAAUAUUCCCAGGAAAGGGUAUGGCUGUCCUACUGACAGAUUCCUAAGAAGGUCUGAGUCAGUCUGAGCUGUUUUCUACACUGGGAUGCACAUCACCAUGGCUUCAGUGAGAAUCAUCAUCACCUCAUGCAUCAGUCCUGGAGGCACUCACCUUCGCUUGUCCCAUGAAACUCCUGCCAAAGUCCUGACUGACAGGUGGCAUUAUUAGUACUGACCUCACUAUCAGCGUGUACAUCGCCGGUUGAUCAUCCCUACACUGUCAUGGCAAUGACGGAUGACGGAUGAUGGAUGAUGGAGAAGCCUCCCAUUGGAAGAAGCAAGGUGCACGGACUGGAGUGAUAAUGAGGAGCCUAGCACAAGCCCAGCGUGCACAGUGGUAGGCAUUUUCCCCUGAAUAAAAACUCCAUGUGUACUUCUCUGUAAACUGAG